Molecule: ribosomal RNA, 440 nt
Filed under: uncultured bacterium
Lineage: Bacteria
Description: partial 16S ribosomal RNA
Rfam family: Bacterial small subunit ribosomal RNA
Source: RNAcentral
CCUACGGGAGACUGCAGUGGGGAAUAUUGCACAAUGGGGGAAACCCUGAUGCAGCGACGCCGCGUGAGUGAAGAAGUAUUUCGGUACGUAAAGCUCUAUUAGCAGGGAAGAAAAUGACGGUACGUGAAUAAGAAGCCCCGGCCAAAUACGUGCCAGCAGCCGCGGUAAUACGUAGGGGGCAAGCGUUAUCCGGAUUUACUGGGUGGAAAGGGAGCGUAGACGGCAGCGCAAGUCUGGAGUGAAAUCCCAUGGCUUAACCAUGGGACUGCUUUGGAAACUGUGCAGCUAGAGUGCAGGAGAGGUAAGCGGAAUUCCUAGUGUAGCGGUGAAAUGCGUAGAUAUUAGGAGGAACACCAGUGGCGAAGGCGGCUUACUGGACUGUAACUGACGUUGAGGCUCGAAAGCGUGGGGAGCAAACAGGAUUAGAUACCCCUGUAGUC